This 329-nucleotide unclassified non-coding RNA is filed under the name soil metagenome. RNAcentral describes it as "partial contains 5.8S ribosomal RNA, internal transcribed spacer 2, and large subunit ribosomal RNA". The stretch from base 1 to 120 matches the Rfam family "5.8S ribosomal RNA", at positions 35 to 154 of the family's 154-position model. The record is from RNAcentral.
GAUGAAGAACGCAGCGAAAUGCGAUACGUAGUGUGAAUUGCAGAAUUCAGUGAAUCAUCGAAUCUUUGAACGCACAUUGCGCCCCCUGGUAUUCCGGGGGGCAUGCCUGUUCGAGCGUCAUUACAACCCUCAAGCUCUGCUUGGUAUUGGGCCCCGCCAGUUCUGGCGGGCCCUAAAGUCAGUGGCGGUGCCUUCCGGCUCCGAGCGUAGUAAUUCUUCUAGCUCUGGAGACCCGGUUGUGUGCUUGCCAACAACCCCCAAUUUUUUAAGGUUGACCUCGGAUCAGGUAGGGAUACCCGCUGAACUUAAGCAUAUCAAUAAGCGGAGGA